UCUCCUACGGGAGGCAGCAGUGGGGAAUAUUGCACAAUGGGCGCAAGCCUGAUGCAGCCAUGCCGCGUGUAUGAAGAAGGCCUUCGGGUUGUAAAGUACUUUCAGCGGGGAGGAAGGCGAUGNGGUUAAUAACCGCGUCGAUUGACGUUACCCGCAGAAGAAGCACCGGCUAACUCCGUGCCAGCAGCCGCGGUAAUACGGAGGGUGCAAGCGUUAAUCGGAAUUACUGGGCGUAAAGCGCACGCAGGCGGUCUGUUCAAGUUCGGAUGUGAAAUAGNCCGGGCUCAACCCUGGGAACUGCAUCCGAAACUGGCAGGCUUGAGUCUCGUAGAGGGU
This 336-nucleotide ribosomal RNA is filed under the name uncultured bacterium. RNAcentral describes it as "bacterial SSU rRNA". It matches the Rfam family "Bacterial small subunit ribosomal RNA", at positions 335 to 659 of the family's 1533-position model. The record is from RNAcentral.